GUCGCGGUUAAACCUAGAGGACAUGUAUUAAUCAGUAGAGGUCUAAAGCAUUAUAAGCAUGGUAUAAGAAUACUAGAGUAUAAAAGAAAGAAGAAAUAUCACACAAUUUAUACAAUGAGAGAUGAAAUUCAUUGAGAGUAUAAGGAGUAUGAAGAAAUGAAAAUAGUGAUAAUAGAAUUUAUACUGACAUUGAUUAAUGAAGGCAUAGGGAUCGAAGUAGAUUAGAUACCUACCUAGUCUAUGCAGUAAACGAUGAAUACCAAUAUAAAUAAUGAAUAAAAAGUUUAUAUAAAGCGAAAGCAUAAGUAUUCCNCCAGGUNAGUAGACCCGCAAGGGUGAACUCCAAGACAAUAGGCAGUUUCAGUUGUAGGUAGUGGAUUGUGUUAU
RNAcentral lists this ribosomal RNA (387 nucleotides) under Ambrosiozyma angophorae. Its description in RNAcentral is "partial small subunit ribosomal RNA". It matches the Rfam family "Bacterial small subunit ribosomal RNA", at positions 514 to 945 of the family's 1533-position model. Lineage: Eukaryota; Fungi; Ascomycota; Pichiomycetes; Pichiales; Pichiaceae. The record is from RNAcentral.